This 28-nucleotide non-coding RNA is filed under the name Mus musculus (house mouse). Lineage: Eukaryota; Metazoa; Chordata; Mammalia; Rodentia; Muridae. The record is from RNAcentral.
UAAAGGGUUGAAAGCACACAGCCAUGUU